AGGGACAGAAAGGGCAAGAUGCUGUGUGAGGGACCGACAGGGUUUGGUGGCCGUGCUGGGGACAAGAAGGAGAGAGCCAGAGCUGCAGAAGGAAGAGAGAAAGUGCCGGAGAUGCAUGGGGCUGCCCGUGAGAGGCUCCACAGAAAAGUGUGAGAUCAAGAUAAGAAGUUUGAUGAACUGCUGAUGAACAGUUGAUGGAGCAAAGUGUUUCAGACCACAUUGAGGACAGACUGAUGUGUUCAUCUAACUGAAAAAUGCGUACAGGAGAGGCUGGACCGGAAUCUGUGAGAAUUCUCCUGCUGACCUGGCUGGAUUAGCUCUUAGAGCCAGCCUAUAGAGUCAGAUAUUCAUGUAUGCAUGAGUCUUUUUUCUCCUUGUUUUCUUUCCUCUCACUCUGCCAGUAUGUUUUAAUAAAACCCUCAUAUGCCAGCUUUUGAAUAGAUGAGCCUAUCUUUAUUUCUUCUUUAUUUUUCCUUUUUAUCUGUUUG
Hirundo rustica (Barn swallow) is the source of this 488-nucleotide long non-coding RNA. RefSeq lists it as uncharacterized. The transcript has 3 exons. The record is from RefSeq and is a predicted model, not a curated record. Lineage: Eukaryota; Metazoa; Chordata; Aves; Passeriformes; Hirundinidae.